This 315-nucleotide ribosomal RNA is filed under the name uncultured bacterium. RNAcentral's name for it is "bacterial SSU rRNA". It matches the Rfam family "Bacterial small subunit ribosomal RNA", at positions 97 to 397 of the family's 1533-position model. The record is from RNAcentral.
GGCAGACGGGUGAGUAAUAUUUGGGCAAUCUGCCCUCAAGAGGGAAACAACCUGCCGAAAGGCGGGCUAAUGUCCCAUAAGACCACGGGAAUGCAUAUUCCAGGGGUAAAAGCUCCGCAAAGGGGCGCUAGAGGAGGAGCCCGAAUCCUAUCAGCUAGUUGGUGAGGUAACGGCUCACCCAAGGCUUUGACAGGGUAGCCGGCCUGAAAAGGGGUGAUCGGGCAACACUGGCACUGAGACACGGGCCAGACUCCUACGGGAGGCAAGCAGUGGGGCAAUUUUGGACAAUGGGGGCCAACCCUGAUCCAGCGACGC